This 397-nucleotide ribosomal RNA is filed under the name uncultured bacterium. RNAcentral's name for it is "partial 16S ribosomal RNA". It matches the Rfam family "Bacterial small subunit ribosomal RNA", at positions 523 to 918 of the family's 1533-position model. The record is from RNAcentral.
AUACGUAGGUGACAAGCGUUAUCCGGAUUUACUGGGCGUAAAGGGCGUGUAGGCGGUCUUGCAAGUCAGAAGUGAAAUUCCUGAGCUCAACUCGGGCGCUGCUUCUGAAACUGCAGGACUUGAGUGCUGGAGGGGAUAGCGGAAUUCCUAGUGGAGCGGUAAAAUGCGCAGAUAUUAGGAAGAACACCGGUGGCGAAGGCGGAUUUCUGGACAUUAACUGACGCUGAGGCGCGAAAGCGUGGGGAGCAAACAGGAUUAGAUCCCCUGGUAGUCCACGCCGUAAACGAUGAAUACUAGGUGUAGGGUGUAUCGACUCCCUCUGUGCCGCAGUUAACACAAUAAUUAUUCCGCCUGGGGAGUACGGCCGCAAGGUUGAAACUCAAAUGAAUUGACGGUG